RNAcentral lists this long non-coding RNA (711 nucleotides) under Mytilus galloprovincialis (Mediterranean mussel). Lineage: Eukaryota; Metazoa; Mollusca; Bivalvia; Mytilida; Mytilidae. The record is from RNAcentral.
GCUUUCCAAAACACAAUUCGAAAAAUGAAAAAAUAGGGGGGCCAAAAACAAGCCUUAUCGUACCUUGUCCUUUCCACGACAUUACACACAUUUUAUCUCUCCAAGGUACAUGUUCAAAGGCAAUAACUAUGAAAUAAAAUGCUUCGCUGACGGCAGCGUGAUACAGCCUCAGAGGUAAAAAAAAAAUAUGAACCCCUUUUAAAAUUGGGACACCCCCUUGGAGUUAUUGCCCCUAAACUCAAUCCCAGCAUUCCCUUUGUAGUAUGGAACCUUGUAGAUCAGUUAAAGAAAGUUCCAUAAACUUACACAAGUUAUUGUCUGGAAACUACAAAAGUGCACAUUGUAGGCCCCCUUUUCCUAAACUAAUGAUACCCUUACCCUCAAAAUCAAUCCCAAUCUUCCUUGCAUGAUAUUGAACCUUCUUGUAUAAAUUCAAAUUUAUUCAUUUAUAAACUAAAGUUGUCGUCUGGAAACCAAAUCAUUCUUAAGAUGAUGACGCAGACUAUGACAUCAUAGCAUUAUUCGAACCAAUAAAAAAUAUUUGCAAGAAUUGUACAUGGGACACCUCUAACAAGCACAGACAGACCCUUCACUAGCUAUAGGGAUCAAUUAAAGUUCACAUGAAUAAAUUGAAUGAGGUUGAAUUAUUCACUUGCAAAUGAAUAAUCUAUUUGCAAUGUUUCUUUGCUUAUUUUGUAGCAUGAACCAAAC